UUGUAAUUCAUUAAUUUAAGGUAUAAGCGUAUAUCAUGAAACGUGUAACAGAUUUCCCAUACUUGUCUGUAUACUUGUACAUGAAAUUCUUAGGGUGUUUUAAAUGAAAAUACAUGCUUCAUCAGGUUUGCAUUAUAAUCCUGAUUACUCCGCUACAUAUUAAAGAAUUUAGGAAAGUACUUGCUUAUUUCUUCGAUCCUGCAAAUUGUAAUGAAUUGUCAUCGAUAUUUUUAUUCAGCUGAUCUGAGAAGGUCCACUUCUUGUUCAAUGGAUGAUGGCAUUUGAGCAGAUACCCAAAAAGGAUUGGUACAGCAUUCUGGGGGCAGACCCAUCUGCAAGUGUGUCAGACCUAAAACAAAAGUAUCAAAAACUCGUAUUAAUGGAUGGAGAAAAUACUAAGUAGUCCUACUUCCCGACAUGAAAUUUGGAUAUUACCCAAUCUCUUGGAAAAGCUGACAAAUCUGCCCCCCAGGAGCUGGUGAAACUUGGUGAGAACCCAGAAAGCCAGAUCUGCGGGCGACCUCCAGCUUGGGGCAAUGGUUCCUGAGGCUUUUCCUGAUGUUGAGACUUUGUUUCUUUUCCUUUAAAGCCGGAUCGAUGAAACAGCAUAUGAAAGCACUUUGUAACCUUUGUAACCUACAAAGUACCGGAGACGUGCUAUGUUAGGUUUUAGUACAAUUAUUGGAUUUCCCACUGGUGUGGCACCGUUUUACAAUUCUGAUCAAACUGGAAAAUUGCCUUCCAAAUUAAUAAUUAUUAACUUG
This 764-nucleotide long non-coding RNA is filed under the name Ursus maritimus (polar bear). RNAcentral's name for it is "lncRNA (ENSUMAG00000024850.1)". Lineage: Eukaryota; Metazoa; Chordata; Mammalia; Carnivora; Ursidae. The record is from RNAcentral.